Oncorhynchus tshawytscha (Chinook salmon) is the source of this 332-nucleotide long non-coding RNA. Lineage: Eukaryota; Metazoa; Chordata; Actinopteri; Salmoniformes; Salmonidae. The record is from Ensembl.
GCGAUAGGGGUCAUCAAGGGUUAGGAACAGGCAUUUCUCCUCCCCACCCAAUCCCAUUCACCCAUACCUGCGAUAGGGGUCAUCAAGGGUCAGGAACAGGCAUUUCCCUCCCCACUAAUCCCAUCCACCCAUACCUGCGAUAGGGGUCAUCAAGGGUCAGGAACAGGCAUUUCUCCUCCCCACCCAAUCCCAUCCACCCAUACCUGCGAUAGGGGUCAUCGAGGGUUAGGAACAGGCAUUUCUCCUCCCCACCCAAUCCCAUCCACCCAUACCUGCGAUAGGGGUCAUCGAGGGUUAGGAACAGGCAUUUCUCCUCCCCAACCAAUCCCAUC